RNA transcript from Xenopus tropicalis (tropical clawed frog), 2198 nucleotides. It is a transcript of the gene named ficolin-1-A-like, with no coding region annotated. The transcript has 9 exons. Lineage: Eukaryota; Metazoa; Chordata; Amphibia; Anura; Pipidae. The record is from RefSeq and is a predicted model, not a curated record.
UACUGGUUUGAUGGAAAGAGUAAAUGGCUACUGUAAAACCACCAGCAACUCGAGCAAAAACUGCAGCAGAUGUGGGAACUGGCAGCAACCAGGCAGGUUCCGGUUGAGAAAUGCAGGUUCCUCAGAUCAGAAAAUCCAUCAGGGCACAGAGAUGACGCAGUUCCAAUAUGAUGAGUGCUUGGAGGUUGGACGGAAUCUGGAGAAUGUUCUCUCCCACUGCUAUAAAAGGCUGGGUUCCCCCAAAUCGGAUACUUGUAAGUUACAAGAGGAACCAUGACUGGAUGUAUACAGAGCUUUCUACUCUUGGUGGGCGCCAUACUUUCUUAUGCUGAGGAGACCUGCCCAGAUGUGAAAGUCAUUGGGGUGGGGGCUUCGGACUAGCUGACCAUUCUGCGAGGAUGUCCUGGGUUACCAGGAGUACCAGGAGCAGAGGGGCCUGUUGGACCUGCAGGAGCUAAAGGAGAGAAGGGAUCGCCUGGGAUUCCUGGUAAGAGCGGACCAACUGGGAUGAAAGGAGAAAUGGGAAAUCCAGGAACUAAGGGAUGAAAAGGUGACAAAGGAGACCAAGGCAUUCUAGCACAAGGAACUGCACAGAACUGUAAGGAAUGGUUGGAUCAGGGAGGUACAAUCAGCAGUUGGUACACUAUUUACACCCCCUAUGGGCUCCCUCUCUCUGUGCCCUGUGAUAUGGAAACCGAUGGAGGAGGAUGGAUACUAAGUUGGGGGGUCUUCCAGAGGCGCAUGGAUGGCUCGGUAGAUUUUUUCCGUGAGUGGGAUUCUUACAAGAGAGGAUUUGGCCAUCAAAAUGGCGAGUUUUGGUUGGGGAAUGAGAAUCUCCAUCUUCUUACAGCCACAGGGAAUUUCCAGCUUCGAGUCGACCUGACAGAUUUCAGUGAGCAGCACACUUAUGCUACAUACAGCAACUUCAGUAUAGCUCGGGAGUCCCAGAACUACACCCUGAGUCUGGGGAGUUUCACUGGAGGAGACGCAGGUGACUCCUUGUCUGGCCACAGAAACAAAGGAUUCACCACCAAAGACAGAGACAACGACUCUCACCCCACUAUUAACUGCUCCGACGAUUUCCAAGGAGGCUGGUGGUAUGACAGCUGCAUUUUGUCCAGCCUGAAUGGACUUUACCUGCCAGGCGAUCUUACUACUUACUUACGUUACAAUGGUGCCAUUUGGAGCUCGGGCAGGGGGUAUCAAUACUCAUACAAAGUGUCCACAAUGAAGUUUCGCCCCCAGUCUUAAACAUAAAAAAAAAGGAUGGUGGGACCAAGUCAAGGCUUCUAUUUAACAAUAUUGAACUGAUGAUCACCCAAGGUCAAUUUUGGGACUAGAAACCUCAGCUGUUGUGGUCCCUCUGUAGAACAGAGCAACUAGACACUGACCUGUUUGUUCAAUUGUUUAUUAAACGAGCCAUUUCCAUUGCAAAAGCCAUUAGUUUCAUUUAUACCUAAUACUUAAUGCUGCAAGCACAGAGUUGUACUAUCUAGGCUCUUAGGCCAUGAGAAAAUCCACCAGUCUUAUCUAUUAGGGCUAAAGCCACAUCGUGUCUAGUAAAUGGAGGGAGAACUGCCCAAGAGCAGAAAGUAGGGAGAAUCAAGAAGACAUAUAGGGAGCUGAUUGUUUUCAACUGCCCUGGAGGUGGGGUUAUUUCAUGGACGUCUGCCAUUAUGGAAGUGUUUAUAUAGUUCAGAAUCAUAGCACAGUUAAUAAACACUGAUCAUCUCUUAAAGACCAACCUUUAUCUUCUCAACUGAGCAUUGCUAUUAUUUCCGAGACUUGAUUUUCAUUCUUGACCAUCUUGUCCCACGUGAUAUUGUUGGGCUUUUCGAUUUAGCACCAGUGUAAUAAGAGCAGAUGUCAAGGCGCAGGUGGGGGUGGAUAGGCCACAGGCGUGGACUUAUAUGGCUACUUGGACUUAUAUGGCUACUUGAACGAUGAUGACCAACUUCUACUGCCAGUUGAGGAGCUCUGUGUUGGAUGAUAAGAGGCUUGUUUUGACUUGUACAGUACACAAACAUACAUAGAGCCUAAAUCUUGGGUCCUAGCUCCCCAAAUUAUAGUACAGGUGUAAGACCCGUUAUCCAGAAUGCUCGGGACCAAGGGUAUUCCGGAUAAGGGGUCUUUCCGUGAUUUGGAUCUCCAUACCUUAAGUCUACUAAAAAAAUCAAAAAUAAAACCUAAUAGAAUUG